Triplophysa rosa is the source of this 893-nucleotide long non-coding RNA. RefSeq lists it as uncharacterized. The record is from RefSeq and is a predicted model, not a curated record. Lineage: Eukaryota; Metazoa; Chordata; Actinopteri; Cypriniformes; Nemacheilidae. The transcript is spliced from 5 exons.
UUGAACCCCACCUCAUAAGAAAAAAAUCAACGACUACUUCUCCAGCCCCGGCCACUGGUUCGCGCAUGACAGAAGCAGUGUCGCGGAACCAGAUAGAGCUAGCAAGCAAUAAACAAACAUGUCGUUAAAUAUAGCUAAAUAUUGUGCCAUCCCAGGUUGUGGAAGAAUGCAGUCGCUGCAUAACCUUCCUUCGGAUUCUGUUAUUAGGAAUGCGGGGUUAAAGUUUAUUUUUAAAGAUGUUCCAGCUCAUGUGGGAAAAACAUGAACAAGGCACUGGAUUUGUGGAGCGACUAAAAUUAAAAAGCAGUGCUGUGCCAUCCAUAUUGGAUCCGAUAGGAAUGUCACAGCGAUCUUAUGAGAUACAGAAGACAAAAGUGAUCCCGAACGCUGUGUGGUGAAGUUUGCACGAACAUCCAGCUGAUUGUCCAGUAACAGGAAGCGGACUUAAAGAGCACCAUGACAUUGUAAAGAGCAGCAGAAAACUUAGAUUUGAGUUCCUGACUCUGUGGAUUGAAGCUUAGUGAUCUACAGCAAGGGUUCAGUGCUCUUGUCAGAAGAGCAAGUAGAACCAGAGUGGCUCCUCUCAUCUCAGAGGCUGGACUGGUGUGGAGUUCUUCUUCCAGAUACCUUGCUAGAUUUAUACACUCCGUAAGUGACGGAGGAAGGAACAGUUCGUGGGAAACACAAGGGCCAAUUCCCAGAGUUGCUGUCUAUGGGGGGAGUCAGAAAGCUCCUGGACCUCAUCAGAACUAUCUUAAUUGUGUUCAGAAGAUGAAUGGAGGUCCUAGGGUUAUAGUACGACUUCAGGAACACAAGAGAUACAGAGGACAAAAGUGAUCCCAAACGCUGUGUGACGUAACAUACAGGACCACUCAGUGGGGCGACCAAUGAAA